GGCUGUUGAGGGUGAUCUGGCUGACAUCUGUCACCCCAUUGAUCCUCAGGGUUGAUUUGGCUGAUCUGGCUAGCUAGGCAGGUGUCCCCUUCCUUCCUCACUGUUCUGUAUUCAACCCUCCCAAAGCUGUGUGCUCGGUCAAAGAGGAGGAUGACUUCCCCAAAUAGAAGAGGACCAGUCUUCUGUCAAGGGCAUAUGAGUAGGUAACAAGCUUUCAAGGUCCAUUUGUAGGAGAACAUAGUGUAGUCAAGCUUCCAAGACUCCAGACACAUCCAAAUGAGGCGCUGCAUGUGGCAGUCUGCCUUUGUUU
Molecule: small nuclear RNA, 310 nt
Filed under: Jaculus jaculus (lesser Egyptian jerboa)
Lineage: Eukaryota; Metazoa; Chordata; Mammalia; Rodentia; Dipodidae
Description: 7SK RNA (ENSJJAG00000003096.1)
Rfam family: 7SK RNA
About the family: 7SK was discovered as an abundant small nuclear RNA in the mid-70s but a possible function has only recently been suggested. Two independent studies have found that 7SK RNA binds the CDK9/cyclin T complex (known as elongation factor P-TEFb). P-TEFb activates transcription by phosphorylating the C-terminal domain of RNA polymerase II.
Source: Rfam by way of RNAcentral